Gossypium raimondii (Peruvian cotton) is the source of this 107-nucleotide small nucleolar RNA. It matches the Rfam family "Plant small nucleolar RNA R71". Rfam says of the family: R71 is a member of the C/D box family of snoRNAs containing the C (UGAUGA) and D (CUGA) box motifs. Multiple nearly identical copies of this snoRNA have been identified in Arabidopsis, and it is thought to function as a 2'-O-ribose methylation guide for 18S ribosomal RNA. The record is from Rfam. NCBI's taxonomy places the organism in Eukaryota, Viridiplantae, Streptophyta, Magnoliopsida, Malvales, Malvaceae.
AACCCAUGGUGACGACACCGUUUCAAUAUAUCUUUGUAUCUCCCCCAUACAUCAUAUAAAGUCUCUAAAUCAAUCUGAACAAAGAAAUAGAUAUCAUUCCUCUACUU